UUAAAGGUAGAUUAUUUUAAAUUAUUAGACUCAUAAUCUAAAGAUACCUUAUGGUCCUUUAAA
RNAcentral lists this transfer RNA (63 nucleotides) under Eupristina koningsbergeri. RNAcentral describes it as "tRNA-Met". The record is from RNAcentral. Lineage: Eukaryota; Metazoa; Arthropoda; Insecta; Hymenoptera; Agaonidae.